AAUUCGAUUGAGUUUGAUCAUGGCUCAGGACGAACGCUGGCGGCGUGCUUAAUACAUGCAAGUCAACUGAACUUGAGGUAGUAAUAUUUCAAGGGAGGUGGCGCACGGGUGAGUAACACGUAGGUAAUCUGCCUUUAGGUCUGAAAUAACUCCGAGAAAUCGGAAUUAAUGUCAGAUGAUGCAGCGGCUCGACAUCGAGACAGUUGUUAAACCUUCGGGGCCUGAAGAUGAGCCUGCGUCUGAUUAGGUAGUUGGCGGAGUAAAAGCCCACCAAGCCUGCGAUCAGUAGCUGGUCUGAGAGGAUGAUCAGCCACACUGGAACUGAGACACGGUCCAGACUCCUACGGGAGGCAGCAGUAAGGAAUAUUGCUCAAUGGCCGAAAGGCUGAAGCAGCAACGCCGCGUGGAGGAUGAAAUACUUUUGUAUGUAAACUCCUGUAAGAGGGGAAAAAUAUCUCAUUAUUUGAGAUUGAUUGUACCUUCAGAGUAAGCACCGGCUAACUACGUGCCAGCAGCCGCGGUAAUACGUAGGGUGCUAGAGUUGUCCGGAUUUACUGGGUGUAAAGGGUGCUCAGGUGGAUUUGUAAGUCAGAGGUGAAAUCCCAAAGCUUAACUUUGGUGCUGCCUUUGAUACUGCAAAUCUUGAGUUUGAGAGAGGAUAAUGGAAUAUCUGGUGUAGCAGUGAAAUGCGUA
Molecule: ribosomal RNA, 693 nt
Filed under: uncultured bacterium
Lineage: Bacteria
Description: bacterial SSU rRNA
Rfam family: Bacterial small subunit ribosomal RNA
Source: RNAcentral